CCUCGCUCGACAGUCGACGCCCUUCUUCCUCUCCAAAUCCAAAUCGCUGAGCCAUGAAAUUCUACUCCCUUCACCAAUCAAAUCGCUGAUGGAUUUGCUUUUCGUCCCCGCUUCCUUCUCUCCCGCGACCCUCGUUGUCAAACCCUCCGUCCUCCUCUCCCCUCGCGCUUCCCAUAAGCCACCGCCGGAAGCUGCAGCAGCCGCCGCCGCGCCGCUAUCCUCCGCCACCAUUCGCCGCCCCCUGAACCCUCCAUUCCGGCAAACAUCCCCUGUUGAGCCUGACACCGCCCCUUCGACCGCUCUUAAACCCUCCACCACCAACCCCUUGGCACCGAAGCUCUGGCUUUCCAGUAAGCUCUCUCCUCCACCUCCUCCUCCGCCGCUGCCACCGACCCCUCCGGUGGAAACCCUGCCAUCGGAUUCCGAUGUCGAAGGUCCCUCCUCGCCUGCUGUAAAUCCUGAUUCCAUGGCCGACGCUGCCAAAUAUCGUGUUUAAGGAAAGAUUUUUGUGGGGAAUCUGCUGCGAUGGGUCAAGAAGAACGAGAUCGUCGAGUUCUUCCGCCAAUUCGGACCCGUGGAGAAAUGCGAGUUGAUCAGGGCUCAUGAUGAUCCGGAGCGCAAUGUGGGGUAUUGUUUCCUGUGAUACGGUGGUCCUACUGCUGAAGAUUCGGCUGUCAGGGGGGUGGAGUUUGACGGAGUGGAGUUCCAUGGGAGGGUUUUGACUGUAAUGUUGGACGACGGGAGUCAGCAGAGGGCGAGGAAGGAAGAGAAAAUGAACUGGGUAGCAGGGUCGGAUCGUAGGGAGUACAAGUCGAAGUUGCAUGCGGAGACGGGGAAUGCUAGCAAUAGAUUUGUGAAGGUUUUGGACACUAAGCCAGAGGAUUGGCAAGCGGUAGUGUCGGCGUUUGAUAAAAUACCGAAGGUUGAAGAUUAUCAACAACAAGAAGCAAUGUGCAUUAGGAGUUUUGAGUCUAGACAUGAAUUUGGCUCUUUAAACAUUACCGCCUCUCUUUGCUAUUGAUGGCCCUCUUUAGGAGAUUAUCUCUUGAUGGUCAAGUAUUAUGCCAGAAGAGGUGAUAAACAUCAUGCACGAGCAACUUUUGAGAGCAUGAGAGCAAGAGGAAUUGAACCAGAUGAACGCAUAUUUACAAGCCUUGUUCACGCUUAUGCAGUUGCCAGAGAUAUGCUUGGGGCUUUGUCUUGCGUUGAUGAAAUGAAGACUGAGGGUGUUGAGUUGACUUUGUCUUGCUGAAGUCCUCGAUGCUGAAUCUGCAGAUAUCUACUUCAAAGAGGCAAAGCAAAAGUUUUCUUCCUUGAAUGGUGUAAUAUACAGCAACAUCAUUUACGCACAUUGUCAAAGUGACAACAUGUCUCAAGCUGAAGUUUUGGUUCGAGAAAUGGAAGAACAAGGAAUGGAUGUUUCUAUUAACAUAUAUCACACAAUGAUGGAUGGUUAUACCAAUAUUCGAGAUGAGAAGAAAUGUUUAAUUGUUGUUGAUAGGCUUAAGGUAACGAAGCAUUCUGUAUAUUUGUAUUCUAAUUCAUGGAAUUUUUAUUUUUUUUUUUCUUGUUUUUGGUCUGAAGAUUUGGAGUCAAUUGACAUAUCUUGUAUCCGCAUGCAUUUCUUGCUACAGUUUGCAUGUGUUGCUCCUCUGGCAUCUCCAUACUCUCUAGCUGUGUGUUCCAGUUGACAAUAACUAGCUUGCGAUGGUAUAAAACCUAUAGGAUGCUAAUGAAACCUGAUGAUCACUAGUUUCCCUUUA
Zingiber officinale is the source of this 1763-nucleotide RNA transcript. It is a transcript of the gene named vegetative cell wall protein gp1-like, with no coding region annotated. The transcript is spliced from 6 exons. The record is from RefSeq and is a predicted model, not a curated record. Lineage: Eukaryota; Viridiplantae; Streptophyta; Magnoliopsida; Zingiberales; Zingiberaceae.